This 1040-nucleotide long non-coding RNA is filed under the name Dasypus novemcinctus (nine-banded armadillo). Its description in RNAcentral is "lncRNA (ENSDNOG00000050146.1)". The record is from RNAcentral. Lineage: Eukaryota; Metazoa; Chordata; Mammalia; Cingulata; Dasypodidae.
UCUGGAGACUUCAGAUUCCACAGAGCCCAGGAAAUUGCACUAUUUCCUGCGAGUUGUGCCGUGAGAAGCCGCCCAGAGGAGCCGGUUCGCGUGGCCUGUGAGGUUCCCGUGCAGGACGGUCCAGGGCGCGACCGGCGCCGCCUCUGCCCUGGUGUGGGAGAGGGGGCCUGGCCUGGAGACCUGCCCGGCUUCUGGUUUGCUGGGGCCAACAGAGGCAGGUUAGCCAGAGGGGCGGCUGCUGCAGGAGCACACAGAUGCGAACACGGAGCAGGGAAGGCAGUCGGCAAUGCGAGCUUCCCACACUCCCUAUGCUGGUGUUUACGGAUUCCGUGUCCUGGGCUGGAAAAUGGAACUCCUGAGGAACCUGACACACAAUCCAUGCUAAUGUCUACAGCUGGCUCUUGGUUUAGAGAUUCUUCAGUAGUGUACUCCAGAACCGCCCUUCCUUCUUCCCUGCCCUCGCUGGCUUCUUUGUUGUUUUCUGAACAGUUUAGCAUCAUUAACAGCUCAGGCUGUUUCCUUUUUAACUGAUCAAGGAACUGUAUUAACUUUAAUUCAAACAGUGUAAAAAAAAAAAAAAAUACACUAGCGAUAAAAUGGCUUGAGAGGCAGCCAAAAGAAAAAAGAAGAAAAAACCCUCAAACUGCAAGCCCCGCUGCCUGUGCCUCACCUGUCCCUUUUAAAACAACGCAUUGCAAAACUGACCUAUACCAGGGAGGAAGAGGAGUGGGCAAAGAGUACAGGAGGGCACCAGACCCCACAGGGAAACUGGCUACUCUCAGAUGGCCGAGUCUUCAUCCCAAAGGGGGCCACCUACCCCCUGGUGCAACAAUACCACCAGCGCACCCACCUGCGAAAGACUGCUUUAGGAGCCCUGCUUGAAAAAUAUUACUGCAUUGCCCGAUGGCCUCGCCCUGCACCACCGUUAGCAGCCAAUGCCAAACCUGCCUAAGAACAACCCCUCCCGGGGUCCCCAGGCCCCGUGGGCAUCCAGCACACAGGAACUGCCCCUUUCAAAAAUUUAACAAUGGACUUCACAG